UACGGAGGUGGCAAGCGUUGUUCGGAAUUACUGGGCGUAAAGGGCGCGUAGGCGGCUUGGCAAGUCAGAUGUGAAAGCCCCGGGCUUAACUCGGGAAUUGCAUCUGAAACUGCUUUGCUUGAGUCCUGGAGGGGGUAGUGGAAUUCCCAGUGUAGCGGUGAAAUGCGUAGAUAUUGGGAGGAACACCUGCGGCGAAGGCGGCUACCUGGACAGUGACUGACGCUGAGGCGCGAAAGCUAGGGGAGCGAACGGGAUUAGAUACCCCGGUAGUCCCUGA
Molecule: ribosomal RNA, 277 nt
Filed under: uncultured prokaryote
Description: partial 16S ribosomal RNA
Rfam family: Bacterial small subunit ribosomal RNA
Source: RNAcentral